This 447-nucleotide ribosomal RNA is filed under the name uncultured bacterium. RNAcentral describes it as "partial 16S ribosomal RNA". It matches the Rfam family "Bacterial small subunit ribosomal RNA", at positions 29 to 523 of the family's 1533-position model. The record is from RNAcentral.
AGCGAACGCUGGCGGCAGGCCUAACACAUGCAAGUCGAGCGCCCCGCCCGGGGGGCGGCAGCCGGGAGAGUAACACGUGGGAACGUACCCUUCAGUUCUGAACAACCCAGGGAAACUUGGGCUAAUACCGAAUACGUCCGUAAGGAGAAAGAUUUAUCGCUGAAGGAUCGGCCCGCGUCUGAUUGGCGAGUGGGUGAGGUAACGGCUCACCAAGGCGAGGAUCAGUAGCUGGUCUGAGAGGAUGAUCAGCCUGACUGGGACUGAGACACGGCCCAGUACCCGACGGGAGGGAGCAGUAGGUAAUAUUGGACAAUGGGCGCAAGCCUGAUCCAGCCAUGCCGCGUAGAUGAUGAAGGCCCUAGGGUUGUAAAGUCCUUUUAACGGGGAAGAUAGUGACGGUACCCGUAGAAUAAGCCCCGGCUAACUUCGUGCCAGCAGCCGCGGUAA